RNAcentral lists this long non-coding RNA (415 nucleotides) under Capsella grandiflora. RNAcentral describes it as "long non-coding RNA (CGRA_LNC001260)". The record is from RNAcentral. Lineage: Eukaryota; Viridiplantae; Streptophyta; Magnoliopsida; Brassicales; Brassicaceae.
GACGGGGAUUGAGAAGGAUCCUGUAGAAGAUUACGCGCAACGUGUAUGGUUCGAAGCCCCUGAUGAGAAGUAUGAGUGUGAGUUUGACAUGCCUGAAGACUUUGGAACCAUUGGUGCCAUCAGAGUUCAAAACCAGUACCAUAGACAGUUGUUCCUCAAGAAGAUGGAGAUUGAGUUACCUGACGGGACUGUUACGUUUACAUGUGAAUCAUGGGUGGCCUCUAAGACUGUUGACCCAGCCAAGAGGGUAUUCUUCUCCACCAAGUCCUACUUGCCAUCCGAAACCCCGGAGCCUCUUAUACAGCUUCGAAAGAAAGAGCUAGAGACUUUAAAAGGCAACGACCGCGAAGAAGAUGGUGAAUUCACCAAGUUCGAACGCGUCUACGACUACGACGUGUACAACGAUGUUGGUGAC